GAAACCAGUUAGAGGGGGUUCGAUUCCUUCCUUUCUUA
RNAcentral lists this transfer RNA (38 nucleotides) under Equus sp. RNAcentral's name for it is "partial tRNA-Ser". The record is from RNAcentral. Lineage: Eukaryota; Metazoa; Chordata; Mammalia; Perissodactyla; Equidae.